Molecule: long non-coding RNA, 963 nt
Organism: Mus musculus (house mouse)
Lineage: Eukaryota; Metazoa; Chordata; Mammalia; Rodentia; Muridae
Product: predicted gene, 30961
Exons: 3
Source: RefSeq, a predicted model, not a curated record
AUGCCAAUGCAUACUCCAGGGCGGGGCUUGGUGACCUCUGGCUGAAUGUUUAGUUUUAACGUUCUUACUGCUUAAAGGAAACGCUUCCCUCGACUUCUGAGCUGAGCAGAGAUGGGAACAUAUCUCUGAGGAUAUGUCAUUUCAAAAGAAAACAUCUCAGAGAAUCUGGGCUAUCUAGCCUUCGGGACAAAUAAGGGCAAGACAGGCCUGGGAACCUUCUAGAAGCUGCCCACCUGGAAUGAACCAGUCGACUCCCCUUCUUCCCUCUCUCCCCUUCCCUCCUGCUGUCAUCCAAGAGAUGGCCAAGAAGCACAAGUCAGCAUCAAGACACACAGCUGGAAAUGGGACUGCAGAGGUGACUGACCAUGUGGCCUAGGAGUCAGAAUCCUCAAAUGGGAAGGCCCUAACUGAGGGCAGAAACCCAGAUCUACCUCCUUUGGUGAGCUUGUUGUGGCUUCCAGAUGCAGUGAGGAAGGAACACGUGCCAGGUGCCUCUUUCUCACCCUGGAGCCAGGCACAAGAGUUAUGCUCAGGGAUGCCCAAGCCUAGGGACUAUCUCAGACACAGGAGGUCACUCUCAUGAUGUGGUUUGAGAACCUGGGGUGCUAAAGAUUAUGGUUUUUUUUUCAUAUUCUGCUGGUUUGAGAGAAAAUUACCUUUUAAAAAUGACCAGUAGGUGGUCAGAUUUUCUUUCUAAAUUAAAAGUUGACAUAAAAAUACUUUUUUUUUGACUCAGCACUUCAGUCAUUCUAGUUUGACCAAUUGUCUUUCAUAGAUAAAGAACAUGCAAGAAACAAAUGUGCAAAACCAAGCACAUUGUAACAUUAUAAUAGUGAAGACAUAUGAAUUAUGUAAGCGUCUAAUUACAAGGGAAUGGCUGAAUAAAUUAUGGCAUGUGACAGAAUACUUUGCAGCAGUUAAAAGGAAAAUAUAGAGACUAAUAAACUGAGUUGUUGAGAAAAA